Molecule: ribosomal RNA, 484 nt
Filed under: uncultured bacterium
Lineage: Bacteria
Description: partial 16S ribosomal RNA
Rfam family: Bacterial small subunit ribosomal RNA
Source: RNAcentral
AUUGAACGCUGGCGGCAGGCCUAACACAUGCAAGUCGAGCGGAUGAAGGGAGCUUGCUCCUGGAUUCAGCGGCGGACGGGUGAGUAAUGCCUAGGAAUCUGCCUGGUAGUGGGGGAUAACGUCCGGAAACGGGCGCUAAUACCGCAUACGUCCUGAGGGAGAAAGUGGGGGAUCUUCGGACCUCACGCUAUCAGAUGAGCCUAGGUCGGAUUAGCUAGUUGGUGGGGUAAAGGCCUACCAAGGCGACGAUCCGUAACUGGUCUGAGAGGAUGAUCAGUCACACUGGAACUGAGACACGGUCCAGACUCCUACGGGAGGCAGCAGUGGGGAAUAUUGGACAAUGGGCGAAAGCCUGAUCCAGCCAUGCCGCGUGUGUGAUGAAGGUCUUCGGAUUGUAAAGCACUUUAAGUUGGGAGGAAAAGCAGUAUGUUAAUACCUUGCUUUUUUGACGUUACCCACAGAAUAAGCACCGGCUAACUUCGUG